UCCUUAGGUUAAGUUAAACUACUAUUUUUCAAAAAUAGAGUUGUCUAUUAGGCAGGAGGAG
This 61-nucleotide transfer RNA is filed under the name Cymothoa indica. RNAcentral's name for it is "tRNA-Trp". The record is from RNAcentral. Lineage: Eukaryota; Metazoa; Arthropoda; Malacostraca; Isopoda; Cymothoidae.